This 867-nucleotide ribosomal RNA is filed under the name Cylindrosporus flavidus. RNAcentral describes it as "eukaryotic LSU rRNA". It matches the Rfam family "Eukaryotic large subunit ribosomal RNA", at positions 66 to 915 of the family's 3401-position model. Lineage: Eukaryota; Fungi; Basidiomycota; Agaricomycetes; Hymenochaetales; Hymenochaetaceae. The record is from RNAcentral.
UAACAGGAUUCCCCUAGUAACUGCGAGUGAAGCGGGAAAAGCUCAAAUUUAAAAUCUGGCGGUUUUACCGUCCGAGUUGUAAUCUGGAGAAGUGUUUUCCGUGUUGGACCGUGUACAAGUCUCUUGGAAUAGAGCGUCAUAGAGGGUGAGAAUCCCGUCCAUGACACGGACUACCAAUGCUUUGUGAUACACUUUCUAAGAGUCGAGUUGUUUGGGAAUGCAGCUCAAAAUGGGUGGUAAAUUCCAUCUAAAGCUAAAUAUUGGCGAGAGACCGAUAGCGAACAAGUACCGUGAGGGAAAGAUGAAAAGCACUUUGGAAAGAGAGUUAAACAGUACGUGAAAUUGUUGAAAGGGAAACGCUUGAAGUCAGUCGCGUCUUACUGGACUCAGCCUUGCUUCGGCAUGGUGUACUUCCUGUAGGACGGGUCAACAUCAAUUUUGGUCGGUGGAGAAAGGUCUUGGGAAUGUAGCAUUCUUUCGGGGAUGUGUUAUAGCUCUUGACUGUAUACAUCGACUGGGAUUGAGGACCGCAGCACGCCUUUAUUGGCCGGGGUUCGCCCACGUAACGUGCUUAGGAUGUUGACAUAAUGGCUUUAAUCGACCCGUCUUGAAACACGGACCAAGGAGUCUAACAUGCCUGCGAGUAUUAGGGUGGAAAACCCUUAUGCAUAAUGAAAGUGAAAGUUGGGAUCCCUCGCAAGGGGGUGCACCGACGCCCGGCCCUGAAGUUCUCUGACGGUGCUGCGGUAGAGCAUGUAUGUUGGGACCCGAAAGAUGGUGAACUAUGCCUGAAUAGGGCGAAGCCAGAGGAAACUCUGGUGGAGGCUCGUAGCGAUUCUGACGUGCAAAUCGAUCGUCAAAUUUGGG